GAUGAACGCUGGCGGCGUGCCUAAUACAUGCAAGUCGAACGAGGUCUUCGGACCUAGUGGCGAACGGGUGAGUAACACGUUGGUACCUACCCCGAAGUGGGGAAUAACCGCCCGAAAGGGUGGCUAAUACCGCAUAAUACCGCAAGGUUAAAGCAGUAAGGCGCUUCGGGAGGGGCCUGCGUCCCAUUGGCUAGUUGGUAGGGUAAUGGCCUACCAAGGCGACGAUGGGUAGCUGGAUCGAGAGGUUGACCAGCCACACUGGGACUGAGAUACGGCCCAGACUCCUACGGGAGGCAGCAGUAAGGAAUCUUACACAAUGGACGAAAGUCUAAUGGAGCAACGCCGCGUGCAGGAUGACGGCCUUCGGGUUGUAAACUGCUUUUAUACGGGAAGAUUAUGACGGUACCGUAUGAAUAAGGACCGGCUAACUACGUGCCAGCAGCCGCAGUAA
Molecule: ribosomal RNA, 451 nt
Filed under: uncultured bacterium
Lineage: Bacteria
Description: partial 16S ribosomal RNA
Rfam family: Bacterial small subunit ribosomal RNA
Source: RNAcentral